UACGGAGGUCCCAAGCGUUACUGGGAUUCACUGGGUUUAAAGGGCGCGUAGGUGGCGCGGUAAGUCGGUUGUGAAAUCCCCGGGCUCAACCCGGGAAAUGCUGCUGAGACUGGCGGGCUUGAGGCCGGCAUAGGGUACUGGAACGGACGGUGUAGCGGUGAAAUGCGUAGAUACCGGCUGAAACGCCAGUGGUGAAGGCGGGUCUCUGGGCCGGUUCUGACGCUGAGGCGCGAAAGCGUGGGUAGCGAACCGG
This 253-nucleotide ribosomal RNA is filed under the name uncultured bacterium. Its description in RNAcentral is "partial 16S ribosomal RNA". It matches the Rfam family "Bacterial small subunit ribosomal RNA", at positions 524 to 776 of the family's 1533-position model. The record is from RNAcentral.